Molecule: non-coding RNA, 92 nt
Organism: Mycena galericulata
Lineage: Eukaryota; Fungi; Basidiomycota; Agaricomycetes; Agaricales; Mycenaceae
Source: the annotation of a GenBank genome assembly
GCACCCGUGGUGUACGGCACACACAGUCACCUUGUAGAACUGCCACCCCGUUGGUAGUGAUUGAUUCCGGGGUUUGAUUCCCCGCUGGUGCA